AAGUCCGGGCUCCACAGGGCAAGGAUAACGGGUAACGCCCGCCGAAGGCAACUUCAGGAAAAGUGCAACAGAGAGAUACCGCCCCGCAUGCACGGGGUAAGGGUGGAAAGGUGCGGUAAGAGCGCACCCGACGGCUCGAGAGUGUCCGCCGAUGUAAACUCUAUCCGGAGCAACACCGCAGAGGAGGCAAGGCCGGCCCGGCUGCUUCCGAGAAGGUGGCUGGAGCGUAUCGGCAACGGUACGCCUAGAUAGAUGACUGUCUGCAACAGAACCCGGCUUAUAGAUCCGAU
Molecule: RNase P RNA, 290 nt
Filed under: bovine gut metagenome
Description: Bacterial RNase P class A
Rfam family: Bacterial RNase P class A
About the family: Ribonuclease P (RNase P) is a ubiquitous endoribonuclease, found in archaea, bacteria and eukarya as well as chloroplasts and mitochondria. Its best characterised activity is the generation of mature 5'-ends of tRNAs by cleaving the 5'-leader elements of precursor-tRNAs.
Source: RNAcentral